Molecule: ribosomal RNA, 429 nt
Filed under: bacterium
Lineage: Bacteria
Description: partial 16S ribosomal RNA
Rfam family: Bacterial small subunit ribosomal RNA
Source: RNAcentral
UAGGGAAUCUUCGGCAAUGGGGGCAACCCUGACCGAGCAACGCCGCGUGAGUGAAGAAGGUUUUCGGAUCGUAAAGCUCUGUUGUAAGAGAAGAACGUGUGUGAGAGUGGAAAGUUCACACAGUGACGGUAACUUACCAGAAAGGGACGGCUAACUACGUGCCAGCAGCCGCGGUAAUACGUAGGUCCCGAGCGUUGUCCGGAUUUAUUGGGCGUAAAGCGAGCGCAGGCGGUUUAAUAAGUCUGAAGUUAAAGGCAGUGGCUUAACCAUUGUUCGCUUUGGAAACUGUUAAACUUGAGUGCAGAAGGUGAGAGUGGAAUUCCAUGUGUAGCGGUGAAAUGCGUAGAUAUAUGGAGGAACACCGGUGGCGAAAGCGGCUCUCUGGUCUGUAACUGACGCUGAGGCUCGAAAGCGUGGGGAGCAAACAGG